GUGGAUUAGAUACCCUGGUAGUCCACGCCGUAAACGAUGGAUGCUAGCCGUUGGCCGGUUUACCGGUCAGUGGCGCAGCUAACGCUUUAAGCAUCCCGCCUGGGGAGUACGGUCGCAAGAUUAAAACUCAAAGGAAUUGACGGGGGCCCGCACAAGCGGUGGAGCAUGUGGUUCAAUUCGACGCAACGCGAAGAACCUUACCAGCUCUUGACAUGUCCAGGACCGGUCGCAGAGAUGUGACCCUCUCUUCGGAGUCUGGAACACAGGUGCUGCACGGCCGUCGCCAACU
RNAcentral lists this ribosomal RNA (289 nucleotides) under uncultured bacterium. RNAcentral describes it as "partial 16S ribosomal RNA". It matches the Rfam family "Bacterial small subunit ribosomal RNA", at positions 773 to 1060 of the family's 1533-position model. The record is from RNAcentral.